UACGGGGGGGGCAAGCGUUGUUCGGAAUUACUGGGCGUACAGGGCUCGUAGGCGGCCAACUAAGUCGGACGUGAAAUCCCCAGGCUCAACCUGGGAACUGCGUCCGAUACUGGAUGGCUUGAAUCCGGGAGAGGGAUGCAGAAUUCCAGGUGUAGCGGUGAAAUGCGUAGAUAUCUGGAGGAAUACCGGUGGCGAAGGCGGCAUCCGGGACCGGCAUUGACGCUGAGGAGCGAAAGCCAGGGGAGCAAACGGG
Molecule: ribosomal RNA, 253 nt
Filed under: uncultured bacterium
Lineage: Bacteria
Description: partial 16S ribosomal RNA
Rfam family: Bacterial small subunit ribosomal RNA
Source: RNAcentral